Molecule: unclassified non-coding RNA, 329 nt
Organism: Dasypus novemcinctus (nine-banded armadillo)
Lineage: Eukaryota; Metazoa; Chordata; Mammalia; Cingulata; Dasypodidae
Gene: 7SK
Rfam family: 7SK RNA
About the family: 7SK was discovered as an abundant small nuclear RNA in the mid-70s but a possible function has only recently been suggested.
Source: Ensembl
GGAUGUGAGGGUGAUCUGGCUGCGGCAUCUGUCACCCCAUUGAUACCAGUGUUGAUCUGGCUGAUCUGGCUCACUGGGCAGGUGUCCCCUUCCUCCCUCACUUCCUCAUAAGUGUCCCUCCCUAAGCUGUGCCCUUGGUCAAGGAGGACAACCGUCCCCGCUGGAGGGGAACUAUUCUUUGGUCAAGGGUGUAUGUGUGGCUGUGCUCCCCUGCUGGAACCUCUAAACAAGCUCUCAAAUGUCUCACCAUUCUUAUUACCAUAAGGCCUGAUUCUUCCCAUGUUGUUACACUACUUCUGAAAGCUCACCUCCACUGCCUGCUACACAAA